Molecule: ribosomal RNA, 2436 nt
Filed under: Escherichia coli
Lineage: Bacteria; Pseudomonadati; Pseudomonadota; Gammaproteobacteria; Enterobacterales; Enterobacteriaceae
Description: partial 23S ribosomal RNA
Rfam family: Bacterial large subunit ribosomal RNA
Source: RNAcentral
UGUGAGCUCGAUGAGUAGGGCGGGACACGUGGUAUCCUGUCUGAAUAUGGGGGGACCAUCCUCCAAGGCUAAAUACUCCUGACUGACCGAUAGUGAACCAGUACCGUGAGGGAAAGGCGAAAAGAACCCCGGCGAGGGGAGUGAAAAAGAACCUGAAACCGUGUACGUACAAGCAGUGGGAGCACGCUUCGGCGUGUGACUGCGUACCUUUUGUAUAAUGGGUCAGCGACUUAUAUUCUGUAGCAAGGUUAACCGAAUAGGGGAGCCGAAGGGAAACCGAGUCUUAACUGGGCGUUAAGUUGCAGGGUAUAGACCCGAAACCCGGUGAUCUAGCCAUGGGCAGGUUGAAGGUUGGGUAACACUAACUGGAGGACCGAACCGACUAAUGUUGAAAAAUUAGCGGAUGACUUGUGGCUGGGGGUGAAAGGCCAAUCAAACCGGGAGAUAGCUGGUUCUCCCCGAAAGCUAUUUAGGUAGCGCCUCGUGAAUUCAUCUCCGGGGGUAGAGCACUGUUUCGGCAAGGGGGUCAUCCCGACUUACCAACCCGAUGCAAACUGCGAAUACCGGAGAAUGUUAUCACGGGAGACACACGGCGGGUGCUAACGUCCGUCGUGAAGAGGGAAACAACCCAGACCGCCAGCUAAGGUCCCAAAGUCAUGGUUAAGUGGGAAACGAUGUGGGAAGGCCCAGACAGCCAGGAUGUUGGCUUAGAAGCAGCCAUCAUUUAAAGAAAGCGUAAUAGCUCACUGGUCGAGUCGGCCUGCGCGGAAGAUGUAACGGGGCUAAACCAUGCACCGAAGCUGCGGCAGCGACGCUGAUGCGUUGUUGGGUAGGGGAGCGUUCUGUAAGCCUGCGAAGGUGUGCUGUGAGGCAUGCUGGAGGUAUCAGAAGUGCGAAUGCUGACAUAAGUAACGAUAAAGCGGGUGAAAAGCCCGCUCGCCGGAAGACCAAGGGUUCCUGUCCAACGUUAAUCGGGGCAGGGUGAGUCGACCCCUAAGGCGAGGCCGAAAGGCGUAGUCGAUGGGAAACAGGUUAAUAUUCCUGUACUUGGUGUUACUGCGAAGGGGGGACGGAGAAGGCUAUGUUGGCCGGGCGACGGUUGUCCCGGUUUAAGCGUGUAGGCUGGUUUUCCAGGCAAAUCCGGAAAAUCAAGGCUGAGGCGUGAUGACGAGGCACUACGGUGCUGAAGCAACAAAUGCCCUGCUUCCAGGAAAAGCCUCUAAGCAUCAGGUAACAUCAAAUCGUACCCCAAACCGACACAGGUGGUCAGGUAGAGAAUACCAAGGCGCUUGAGAGAACUCGGGUGAAGGAACUAGGCAAAAUGGUGCCGUAACUUCGGGAGAAGGCACGCUGAUAUGUAGGUGAGGUCCCUCGCGGAUGGAGCUGAAAUCAGUCGAAGAUACCAGCUGGCUGCAACUGUUUAUUAAAAACACAGCACUGUGCAAACACGAAAGUGGACGUAUACGGUGUGACGCCUGCCCGGUGCCGGAAGGUUAAUUGAUGGGGUCAGCGCAAGCGAAGCUCUUGAUCGAAGCCCCGGUAAACGGCGGCCGUAACUAUAACGGUCCUAAGGUAGCGAAAUUCCUUGUCGGGUAAGUUCCGACCUGCACGAAUGGCGUAAUGAUGGCCAGGCUGUCUCCACCCGAGACUCAGUGAAAUUGAACUCGCUGUGAAGAUGCAGUGUACCCGCGGCAAGACGGAAAGACCCCGUGAACCUUUACUAUAGCUUGACACUGAACAUUGAGCCUUGAUGUGUAGGAUAGGUGGGAGGCUUUGAAGUGUGGACGCCAGUCUGCAUGGAGCCGACCUUGAAAUACCACCCUUUAAUGUUUGAUGUUCUAACGUUGACCCGUAAUCCGGGUUGCGGACAGUGUCUGGUGGGUAGUUUGACUGGGGCGGUCUCCUCCUAAAGAGUAACGGAGGAGCACGAAGGUUGGCUAAUCCUGGUCGGACAUCAGGAGGUUAGUGCAAUGGCAUAAGCCAGCUUGACUGCGAGCGUGACGGCGCGAGCAGGUGCGAAAGCAGGUCAUAGUGAUCCGGUGGUUCUGAAUGGAAGGGCCAUCGCUCAACGGAUAAAAGGUACUCCGGGGAUAACAGGCUGAUACCGCCCAAGAGUUCAUAUCGACGGCGGUGUUUGGCACCUCGAUGUCGGCUCAUCACAUCCUGGGGCUGAAGUAGGUCCCAAGGGUAUGGCUGUUCGCCAUUUAAAGUGGUACGCGAGCUGGGUUUAGAACGUCGUGAGACAGUUCGGUCCCUAUCUGCCGUGGGCGCUGGAGAACUGAGGGGGGCUGCUCCUAGUACGAGAGGACCGGAGUGGACGCAUCACUGGUGUUCGGGUUGUCAUGCCAAUGGCACUGCCCGGUAGCUAAAUGCGGAAGAGAUAAGUGCUGAAAGCAUCUAAGCACGAAACUUGCCCCGAGAUGAGUUCUCCCUGAC